This 73-nucleotide transfer RNA is filed under the name Hofstenia miamia. RNAcentral describes it as "tRNA-Phe for anticodon GAA". It matches the Rfam family "tRNA". From Rfam's summary of the family: Transfer RNA (tRNA) molecules are approximately 80 nucleotides in length. Their secondary structure includes four short double-helical elements and three loops (D, anti-codon, and T loops). Further hydrogen bonds mediate the characteristic L-shaped molecular structure. tRNAs have two regions of fundamental functional importance: the anti-codon, which is responsible for specific mRNA codon recognition, and the 3' end, to which the tRNAs corresponding amino acid is attached (by aminoacyl-tRNA synthetases). tRNAs cope with the degeneracy of the genetic code in two manners: having more than one tRNA (with a specific anti-codon) for a particular amino acid; and 'wobble' base-pairing, i.e. permitting non-standard base-pairing at the 3rd anti-codon position. The record is from RNAcentral. Lineage: Eukaryota; Metazoa; Xenacoelomorpha; Acoela; Hofsteniidae.
GCCGCGAUAGCUCAAAUGGGAGAGCUUCAGACUGAAGAUCUUAAGGUCCCUUGUUCAAUGCCGGGUCACGGUA